AUUGAACGCUGGCGGCAGGCUUAACACAUGCAAGUCGAGCGGAAACGAUGGUAGCUUGCUACCAGGCGUCGAGCGGCGGACGGGUGAGUAAUACUUAGGAAUCUACCUAGUAGUGGGGGAUAGCUCGGGGAAACUCGAAUUAAUACCGCAUACGACCUACGGGAGAAAGGGGGCAACUUGUUGCUCUCGCUAUUAGAUGAGCCUAAGUCGGAAUGGUGGGGUAAAGGCCUACCAUGGCGACGAUCUGUAGCUGGUCUGAGAGGAUGAUCAGCCACACCGGGACUGAGACACGGCCCGGACUCCUACGGGAGGCAGCAGUGGGGAAUAUUGGACAAUGGGGGCAACCCUGAUCCAGCCAUGCCGCGUGUGUGAAGAAGGCCUUUUGGUUGUAAAGCACUUUAAGCAGUGAAGAAGACUCCAUGGUUAAUACCCAUGGACGAUGACAUUAGCUGCAGAAUAAGCACCGGCUAACUCUGUGCCAGCAGCCGCGGUAAUACAGAGGGUGCAAGCGUUAAUCGGAAUUACUGGGCGUAAAGCGAGCGUAGGUGGCUUGAUAAGUCAGAUGUGAAAUCCCCGGGCUUAACCUGGGAACUGCAUCUGAUACUGUUAGGCUAGAAUAGGUGAGAGGAAGGUAGAAUUCCAGGUGUAGCGGUGAAAUGCGUAGAGAUCUGGAGGAAUACCGAUGGCGAAGGCAGCCUUCUGGCAUCAUAUUGACACUGAGGUCCGAAAGCGUGGGUAGCAAACAGG
Molecule: ribosomal RNA, 747 nt
Filed under: uncultured bacterium
Lineage: Bacteria
Description: bacterial SSU rRNA
Rfam family: Bacterial small subunit ribosomal RNA
Source: RNAcentral